AUUGAACGCUGGCGGCAGGCCUAACACAUGCAAGUCGAGCGGAUGAAGGGAGCUUGCUCCUGGAUUCAGCGGCGGACGGGUGAGUAAUGCCUAGGAAUCUGCCUGGUAGUGGGGGAUAACGUCCGGAAACGGGCGCUAAUACCGCAUACGUCCUGAGGGAGAAAGUGGGGGAUCUUCGGACCUCACGCUAUCAGAUGAGCCUAGGUCGGAUUAGCUAGUUGGUGGGGUAAAGGCCUACCAAGGCGACGAUCCGUAACUGGUCUGAUAGGAUGAUCAGUCACAUUGGAACUGAGACACGGUCCAGACUCCUACGGGAGGCAGCAGUGGGGAAUAUUGGACAAUGGGCGAAAGCCUGAUCCAGCCAUGCCGCGUGUGUGAAGAAGGUCUUCGGAUUGUAAAGCACUUUAAGUUGGGAGGAAGGGCAGUAAGUUAAUACCUUGCUGUUUUGACGUUACCAACAGAAUAAGCACCGGCUAACUUCGUG
This 484-nucleotide ribosomal RNA is filed under the name uncultured bacterium. RNAcentral describes it as "partial 16S ribosomal RNA". It matches the Rfam family "Bacterial small subunit ribosomal RNA", at positions 30 to 507 of the family's 1533-position model. The record is from RNAcentral.